Apodemus sylvaticus (European woodmouse) is the source of this 1605-nucleotide long non-coding RNA. RefSeq lists it as uncharacterized. Lineage: Eukaryota; Metazoa; Chordata; Mammalia; Rodentia; Muridae. The transcript is spliced from 3 exons. The record is from RefSeq and is a predicted model, not a curated record.
CUUCUGAAGUAUGAGAUGGUAGAAAGAUGAUGGUCCACAUGUUCCUUCUAAUGAAGAGAAUCGCUGAUGAUAUACCAGCUGUUUCAGGAGCCACCAAGCACCAAGUACCAGCUGGGACCAUCUACAUCACCUUCAUUGCUCGUACAACCAGGGCAACCAACACAGCUCAGCAAAUACAACCAUGUGCUUCUUUGUACUGUGAGAGGGUCCUUGCUAAUGACUCAGCCUCUUAGAUUAUCAGAGGGCCCUGGAAGGUCACUGUCCUUCUCUGGGAGGCAAAAGAGCAGGGGAAAAUAUCAGGAAGUAGCCCACUAUCUACUAGAAACUCAAGAGGCAAGAAAAGUAAAAUACCACAGGAAAUAAUAUGAUUUUGACUGCUACAUAGAUGAAAGCAGACGAACAACAGGAUUAUUUAUAAAAGAUAAAAGUGUCCAUACAGGUAAGUGAAAACACUAAUAAUAUUUUUAGGUACAAAUUACAUGUCAAGUUAACAAAGUGGAAAAAUACAGAAAAUAGAUAAAUUAUUCUUUAAAAGAAGACUUUAAGAAAAAGCAUUGCUCUUUAGUGAGUCACUUAAGCCAGAGAAAUUUGAAAGCUGUGUGAUACAAAUUCUAUCUACAGUUAAUAUAACACUGCACACAUUUGUUAGGAGGGUAGGUAUUGCAUUAUCAAUUACAAAGUUAAAGAAAUAUACAUGUUUACAGUCAUUGUAGUUCAAAUAAUCUAAUCAAAUGUAUACCUAAGAGAAUGUUAAAACAAUCACCAUCUUGUUGUAUAGACAUGUACUUAAAAAAAUGAUACCAUAAAAAUUAGUAAAAGAAAGUAGGGGAGAACAAAACUAAUGAAGAUGAUUCUUAGAAUCUAGUCUUCACUUUGAUUAAAAGCCCAAGUAAAUGCAGGUUUCACUAGACACGUUUCUCCUCUCCGUUUUCCCUUCUCCUUUCUCCUCUACUCAGUUCUCACAAUGUUUUGGACAGCAGCAGCACUCCUGACUCUCUUUGUGUGAACAAGGGCAUGCUGUAGUUCUGACUCAUAGGCUAAACUUUGGGCGAUGAAAACAGAAAUUCUGGCUGCAGUUUCUUUUCCAAGAUUCAUAUUCCAGUGAAACUUUUGUACAUGUGACCAGGAAGCACAUGCAUGAAUGUUCAGAGGAGCUUUGUUUAUAGAAGCAGAAAUGCCAAAUAUCUACUGAUAGGAGAAAAGAGAAAUGAAUUUUGGCAUAUUUAUUCAACAAGCUACAAGCUAUCAACGGCAAUGACCCUGACUGAAACCUCCUAGGUAAAUCUGGCAUAAUAAUGUCUAACAGGCCUAGCUUGUUAGAGGAUGCAUUUAAUUUUGAUGUAUAAAUUUCCAAAGAAAGCAACACUAUUGUUAAAGAGUAUAUGUUAUUAACAUUUAAGAGAAUAAUACAUCCUAAAUUUAGGACAAUGUUAAGCUUUGAGGUAUUGCUGGAGGGGAUGAUCUGAAGAGGAAAGAAAUAUCAUGACACACCAACCACAUGUUAGGUAGAAUUUUAGGGCAAUGAACAUAGCUGACCAACGUUUCAUGACCUUGAAUUCUAGCAGUCUUAGUGUAAUGGUGUUAAUACCACUGUGGGUUCUAUAA